AUCCAGUUGUCGAGUCCCAAAUAGGACGAAACGCGCAUCCUGGAU
RNAcentral lists this non-coding RNA (45 nucleotides) under Schistosoma margrebowiei. The record is from RNAcentral. Lineage: Eukaryota; Metazoa; Platyhelminthes; Trematoda; Strigeidida; Schistosomatidae.